CGAGGGACCGAGGGGCUGCCGGUGUGUUUCCCUGGGCUACCCGGCGGCGAACCUGUGGCCGAAGGGUGCGGUGAACUGCGCAGCCCGGAACUUGAGCCCUGAGACUUCGCACCAGGUGAAAGAGAAUACACUCCGGUUGUGAAACACGCAUUUCGCAUCGCCGUUCUGUUUCUUUCCCUGAGAGCUCUCCUGACUCGGACCUGCUUUCUGCAACGCUUUCCGCCUUCCCAGGCACCCCUCCCCCAGCCCUGUAGUUCUCUGUCCUUAAAGUUUAGGAACGAAUUGAGACAAGGCUUUCUGUACGUCGGGACAGGUCGGGGAAAGAACGUUACAAGAAUACCCGUGGGGCAUACUUGGGGGUAGGGAGGGUAGAGGUUGGCAGCAUUGAGAGCCCAGACCCAAGAAAGUGAAUAGACCCAAUCUAGUGAAUAACUAGAGUUUAUAAAUAGAGUAUAAAUACAACAAAAAGUCCGACAUCGAUUCACAGGCUAUAAAACUGCGAACAAAUGCACCCUUAAAAGAUGUAUUUGUUUUUAGGGACUUCCCUGGUGGCACAGUGGUUAAGAAUCCGCCUGCCAAUGCAGGGACAGGGGUUUGAGCCCUGGUCGAGGAAGAUCCCACACGCCGCAGGGCAGCUAAGCCGGUGCACCACAACUACUGAGCCUGCGCUCUAGAGCCCACGCUCGCAGCCAGCGCACUGCAACGAAGAGUAGCCCCUGCUCACCGCAGCUAGAGAAAAGCCCACGUGGAGCAACGAAGACCCGACACAGCCAAAAAUUAAUUAAAUUAAAAAUUUAAAAAAAGAUA
This is a long non-coding RNA of Balaenoptera ricei (Rice's whale), 807 nucleotides long. RefSeq lists it as uncharacterized. NCBI's taxonomy places the organism in Eukaryota, Metazoa, Chordata, Mammalia, Artiodactyla, Balaenopteridae. The transcript has 2 exons. The record is from RefSeq and is a predicted model, not a curated record.